UAUGUGCAUCGUGGUAGAGAUUUGU
RNAcentral lists this non-coding RNA (25 nucleotides) under Cricetulus griseus (Chinese hamster). Lineage: Eukaryota; Metazoa; Chordata; Mammalia; Rodentia; Cricetidae. The record is from RNAcentral.